GGGGCAAGGCCAGGUGGCUAUAGAAAAGUAGUGGGAGAUAGAUACAUUAGCCCCAGGUUAAACAAAUCCCUGGUACCAGGAUAAGUAAAUGGCAGCUGCUCCAGGUCAAUUAAGACACCUGGGGCCAAUUAAGAGCUUUCCAGAUGGCAGGGAAGAUGCUAGGUUGAUUGGGACAUCUGAAGCCAAUCAGGGGCUGGCUGAAACUAGUUAAGCCUCCCAGUUAGUCAGGUGGGUGUGCAUGUCAGGAGCUGUGAUAAGUUGCGCUGUUGGAGAGACUGAGCUGCACACACACACACCAGAUCAGGCACAAGGAAGGAGACCCUGAGGAUUUACAUGUUGAGAGUUUCUGGUAUAUGAAGAUGGAAAGUUUCAGCAACAUGGUGCUAACUGUGAAGAAUAUUUCCCCACUGUAUCUGAGCUGAAGGCAUCUUAUACAGAGGCCAGCAGAAAUCAUGGGAUAGAACCACCUGAGCAAAACAACUUGACCUUGGUAUCAGCUCAAAAUCUUGUGGAAAAUAAUCAUGAAUCACUUCCCUCUUUAUUAUUGUUUGCCUUCAGAAACAGCUAACUCAUGGUCUCUUAGGUACAGUCUGAUCUGUGUCCAAGGAAAAUCCACUAAGGGACAAGUUCUGUCUUUGGCUUAUCCAAGUUAUAUAAUUUGAGAGCCUCAUUGAGAGAAGCAACUGGUAGGAAUACUGCCAUCUGCUAACCAAUUGAAUGAGGCCCUGACAAUCCCUGAAAUGGACCAAAGCUUAAGAGACAAAACAACAUGUCAUGCUGCAGCAACAUAACCAUUAAGGGAGGCUGCUAUCUACCAUCUCAAGCAAGCAGCAUUCAGUAAUUAGUGAUGACUGCAGAAGCCAAGAGUUACAACAAUGGACACAUGAAAAAUGGAAUCACAUAAGAAAUCUGUAACUCGGACUAUCUGUGAAGUUGGAUGUGGCUCUCUCUUUCUCUCAAGUCUUGCAAGUGAGGAGACAUUCAUAUAAAUUAGUGAAAAUCCUAUGAAGCCACCUAAUCCAUCCUUCUGUCACUGCAGCAUGGGACUCUGGUCUUUGCAAUAUAGUUUAGAAUACUUGUUCUUCCCAAAUUUCCCCCCCCCCCAUAUAUUACUUCUGGUAAUAGCCCCAUUUAUCGCCCUAUAUAAUUCCUGUCCUUUGGAUCUUGCUUCAUAGAAGGAGGGUCUUCGCUCAGUUCUGGCCUGACCCAUCCCGACAGGAUAGGGCUUGGCAACAGGGGGGCUCAGUGUGGGCAACCCUCCUCCCUCCCACACAUGUGGAGAAUGAGACGUGUCUGUGGCACUCUGUGGCUUUCUCACCAUCAGCUUCUUGUUUUUGGAAGAGAAGGCCUGUCUCAGGCCUGAUGGGCCCCUGGCCUUAUGUUUGACAACUUCAUGACACAGGUAGCAGCUGGUGCAGGAGAGAGAAGUGAAGAUGUUUAGCCCCUUCGCUGUUUGACUGCCUUGUUUAGCUUGCCUACCCAGGUAUAGUGGGGAAGCACAGCCUCCUUCUGGUAUCACUUUCCAGUGAUCCCAUUGCCAGGCAUGGCAGUAAGUGUGGGUGGAAUUCUCUGACCCUGCUCCAGGGGAUUGGUUGGAACUGGGCAUUCACGGCCCAGGUCUGUAAGAACAAUGCACAGCAGGUUAUGGCACUCUGCCUGGGCUCCAUAGCCAUGGAGCCACAGGGUCAGGCUUUGUCUC
This is a long non-coding RNA of Mauremys mutica (yellowpond turtle), 1699 nucleotides long. RefSeq lists it as uncharacterized. NCBI's taxonomy places the organism in Eukaryota, Metazoa, Chordata, Testudines, Geoemydidae. The record is from RefSeq and is a predicted model, not a curated record. The transcript is spliced from 3 exons.